RNAcentral lists this long non-coding RNA (1092 nucleotides) under Theobroma cacao (cacao). Its description in RNAcentral is "long non-coding RNA (TCAC_LNC001761)". The record is from RNAcentral. Lineage: Eukaryota; Viridiplantae; Streptophyta; Magnoliopsida; Malvales; Malvaceae.
AGGUGGUGAGUCCUCUGACAAGGGCAAGGAAAUUGUACCCGAGGAUCGAUAAUCGGAGUACUUUAGAAAUUCGACUCUUGAAAUAGUGAGUAACCUUACUAUCGUCUUAAUUAUCUAAAGUUGUUUUUAUCCGAUUUUAUGAUUUUAUGGAAAAUGACUUUAAAUGGCAAAUCUUUAUGUUUUAUAAACAAAAUGUGUUUAAACAAAAUGAUUUUAUAAAUUGUCUUAAAAUUGAAUAAUGAUUUUGAAAAAUAGAGUAAUUGGAGAGCACUGAUAUGUUGUAAAUUUAUAAUUUGAAUAAAUGGCUUAUGUUAAUGUGUUGGCAUGACUGGCUGGGUUGUGGUUUUUGUGAACUAUAUGAAUUGUUCUAUUUUACAUUUGCAGGCUGGGUAGUAUUAAAUUAACCCUGUCAUGCUGUCAAAAUUUUAUUGUAUGGUCGGUAUUGCUUGUUGCAGUGGGCUGGGUUCUGUGGACUAGCCUAUUAAAGGGACACGAAAUCCUGACAUAUUUUACCUUGUUUGGAGAGGCGAGUAGGGUAACUCCCGAGGUAUAACUUUUAAAGUUCACUUCACGCUAAACCACCACGUGAGGGGGAACUCGGCCAACGCCAAGGAACGGCUAUAUUUUCUAAAUAAAAACAGGAUUUAUGAGUAUAUAACUUUUUAAUAGCCUUGGCGGACUCAGUUUGGGAUAGCCCUCGGCCAAGGUAUCCCUGAUAACUAGGUAUGAGAAUAAUUUUUGGCAUGAGCCAAGUUUUAAGAAAUUCAUAAGCCAUGUUAAUUACUCGAUUUAAAUGAAUUGAAUUUUAUUUGGUUGAAAUGAGUUGAAAGAUGAUAAAUUAAAGUAUGAUGAUUUAUUUUAUCUAUCUCCAUUUACUCGACUUUAGAUAUUUUAGAUGGUAUUUGUUUACUCACUGAGAUUUUAUAAUCUCACUACCCUCUUUUCCACCCAUUUCAGGCUCAGAAUAGAUUGUAGAUAACUAAUAUCGUCGAGGACUUCAGUUGGACUUGCCACGUCCAAAAACUGUAGGUUCAUUUCUUUUAAUACUUUUAGUUAUUCGUGAGCCCACGUGUCACUGUAAAUUAAAUUUUA